This 968-nucleotide small RNA is filed under the name Pan troglodytes (chimpanzee). Its description in RNAcentral is "processed transcript". Lineage: Eukaryota; Metazoa; Chordata; Mammalia; Primates; Hominidae. The record is from RNAcentral.
AGGAAAGCCAUGGCAGAAAAAUAUAUUAUGACAUCUGCAAAACUCAUUGCUCCUGUAAUUGAAACAUCUUUUGCUGCAGGUUAUGAUUGGUGCGUGGAAGUGGUGAAAGCUUCUCAAUAUGUAGAGCUAGCCAAUGAUCUGGAAAUAAACAAAGCAGUUACAUACUUGAGACAAAAAGACUAUAACCAAGCCGUAGAGAUCUUAAAAGUGUUGGAAAAAAAGGACAGUAGAGUGAAAAGUGCAGCUGCAACCAAUCUCUCAGCCCUGUAUUAUAUGGCCUACACAAGUGAAAUGGCAGCUGAUGGUAGCUAGUUGUUUCAGAAGAAGUGGUAACUACCAAAAAGCAUUAGAUACUUAUAAAGAUACUCACAGAAAAUUUCCAGAAAAUGUCGAAUGUUCUGGCAGCGUGAGGACAGGACACAUGGAGAGAGACCCUUUAAACCUCCUUCCAAGGAAGUCAGUUCUCCCUGGUCCAGAGAUUGCAAAGUGUAAUUAUUUUUCAGGAGAAAAAUACUAUUUGUCUGCGUUUCUUAGUUCGUCUCUGCACAGAUCUUGGAUUAAAAGAUGCUCAAGAAUAUGCCAGAAAACUGAAGAGGUUGGAAAAAAUGAAAGAAAUAAGGGAACAGCGCAUAAAGUCAGGCAGAGAUGGCAGUGGGGGCUCCCGUGGCAAAAGAGAAGGAAGUGCUAGCGGUGAUAGUGGCCAGAACUAUAGUGCCAGUAGUAAAGGUGAACGACUAAGUGCCAGACUCAGAGCUUUACCUGGGACAAAUGAACCUUAUGAAAGUAGCAGUAACAAAGAAAUAGAUGCCUCCUAUGUGGACCCACUUGGCCCUCAAAUAGAACGACCAAAAACUGCAGCCAAGAAAAGGAUCGAUGAGGAUGAUUUUGCUGAUGAAGAAUUAGGAGAUGAUUUGCUUCCAGAAUAAUAUUCACUUUAAUAUUUAUUAAAGGAAAGAAAUUGCCUUAUG